CAAAAAUCAAUGACGAGAAGAGUACGAUAAGACCCCUGUUCCAAAGAGAAUCGGUGUGUUGGUGGAAGCCGGUGUCCAGGACUUAUCCGAAGAUCAUCUCUGAGAUGCAAAGCUGAAAUUAGUAAGCUUUGACGGGUUUUCCGCCGUUACUUUGGAUCACGUAUGAUGGUACGUUGACUGAGAGCCGUGCGUCUUUUUUUAUUAUGCUGCGGAAUAAGGGUGGUAACGCGAGCGCAAACUCGUCCCUAUA
RNAcentral lists this non-coding RNA (250 nucleotides) under Bacillus sp. CECT 9360. Its description in RNAcentral is "T-box". It matches the Rfam family "T-box leader". From Rfam's summary of the family: Uncharged tRNA acts as the effector for transcription antitermination of genes in the T-box leader family. T-boxes are found upstream of many aminoacyl-tRNA synthetase genes and some amino acid biosynthetic genes usually in Gram-positive bacteria. The anticodon of a specific tRNA base pairs to a specifier sequence within the T-box motif, and the NCCA acceptor tail of the tRNA base pairs to a conserved bulge in the T-box antiterminator hairpin. The record is from RNAcentral. Lineage: Bacteria; Bacillati; Bacillota; Bacilli; Caryophanales; Bacillaceae.